GGUCGGGGCUGCGGGCGCUCGCUGGUGGCGGACCCGGAGGCGGCUGCGGCGCCGGGGCUCCGUGGCCUGGAUUGAAUCCGAUCGGGAGCCAUGAGCGUGGACAAAGCUGAGCUAUGCGGGUCUCUGCUCACCUGGUUACAGACGUUCCACGUUCCGUCUCCCUGUGCCAGCCCUCAGGACCUGAGCAGCGGCCUUGCCGUAGCCUAUGUGCUAAACCAGAUGUGAGUGGAGCUGAGGGGGAGGAUCCCAAAAGUGUCCCCCAGUCUGCUCAUCCCACCUUCUCGCCCCCAGAGACCCCUCCUGGUUCAACGAGGCAUGGCUCCAGGGCAUCUCGGAAGAUCCAGGUCCCAACUGGAAGCUGAAGGUCAGCAAUCUGAAGAUGGUCUUACGGAGCCUAGUAGAGUACUCCCAGGAUGUCCUGGCGCAUCCUGUGUCAGAAGAGCAUCUCCCAGAUGUGAGCCUCAUUGGAGAGUUCUCAGACCCGGCAGAGCUCGGCAAGCUGCUUCAGCUGGUGCUGGGCUGUGCCAUCAGUUGCGAGAAAAAGCAGGACCACAUCCAGAGAAUCAUGACGCUGGAAGAAUCGGUUCAGCAUGUGGUGAUGGAAGCCAUCCAGGAGCUCAUGACCAAAGACACUCCUGACUCCCUGUCACCAGAGACAUAUGGCAACUUUGACAGCCAGUCCCGCAGGUACUAUUUCCUAAGUGAGGAGGCUGAGGAGGGGGACGAAUUACAGCAGCGCUGUCUGGAUCUGGAGCGGCAGGUAGGGCCCGAGGUGGAGCAGGGUCACUUGAGUAGCACCUCUCCAAGCCCAGGCUCAUCUUUCUGCCCUGCCCGCAGCUGAUGCUCCUGUCAGAGGAGAAGCAGAGCCUGGCGCAAGAGAAUGCAGUGCUGCGGGAGCGGGUGGGCCGGCCUGAAGGCGAGGGUACCC
Molecule: small RNA, 928 nt
Filed under: Pongo abelii (Sumatran orangutan)
Lineage: Eukaryota; Metazoa; Chordata; Mammalia; Primates; Hominidae
Description: retained intron
Source: RNAcentral